RNAcentral lists this ribosomal RNA (497 nucleotides) under uncultured bacterium. RNAcentral describes it as "partial 16S ribosomal RNA". It matches the Rfam family "Bacterial small subunit ribosomal RNA", at positions 28 to 507 of the family's 1533-position model. The record is from RNAcentral.
GAUGAACGCUGGCGGCGUGCCUAAUACAUGCAAGUCGAGCGAACAGACGAGGCGCUUGCUCCUCUGACGUUAGCGGCGGACGGGUGAUUCACACGUGUCUAACCUACCUAUAAGACUGGGAUAACUUCGGGAACCCUAAUCUAAUACCGGAUAAUAUAUUGAACCGCAUGGUUCAUUAGUGCACGCCGUUUUUGCUGUCCCUUAUAGAUGGAUCCGCGCCGCAUUAGCUAGUUGGUAAGGUAACGGCUUACCAAGGCAACGAUGCGUAGCCGACCUGAGAGGGUGAUCGGCCACACUGGAACUGAGACACGGUCCAGACUCCUACGGGAGGCAGCAGUAGGGAAUCUUCCGCAAUGGGCGAAAGCCUGACGGAGCAACGCCGCGUGAGUGAUGAAGGUCUUCGGAUCGUAAAACUCUGUUAGUAGGGAAGAACAAAUGUGAAAGUAACUAUGCACGUCUUGACGGUACCUAAUCAGAAAGCCACGGCUAACUACGUG